CGUUUAGACAUCACGGCAAGCAGAGCAGGUUUAGGGACAGUGAUUUUCUUCUCUCGUCCUCCAGGAUUUCACCAGAAGGCAUGAGGUCUCCCAUAAUGAGAAAGGUUUCAGCAGAGGAGGAAGAAUUAAUGUACCUGGAGUUCAUUACAGGCGUAGCGAAUGAGAUCUUAAUGCAAGGCCUUUA
This is a long non-coding RNA of Cyprinus carpio (common carp), 184 nucleotides long. RefSeq lists it as uncharacterized. The transcript has 3 exons. Lineage: Eukaryota; Metazoa; Chordata; Actinopteri; Cypriniformes; Cyprinidae. The record is from RefSeq and is a predicted model, not a curated record.